Molecule: ribosomal RNA, 454 nt
Filed under: uncultured bacterium
Lineage: Bacteria
Description: bacterial SSU rRNA
Rfam family: Bacterial small subunit ribosomal RNA
Source: RNAcentral
AAAACUUGGCCCGUCGUUUUACAGCUUACACAUGCAAGUCGAACGGUAACAGGUCUCGGAUGCUGACGAGUGGCGAACGGGUGAGUAAUACAUCGGAACGUGCCUAGUAGUGGGGGAUAACUACUCGAAAGAGUAGCUAAUACCGCAUGAGAUCUACGGAUGAAAGCAGGGGACCUUCGGGCCUUGUGCUACUAGAAGCGGCUGAUGGCAGAUUAGGUAGUUGGUGGGGUAAAGGCUUACCAAGCCUGCGAUCUGUAGCUGGUCUGAGAGGACGACCAGCACACUGGGACUGAGACACGGCCCAGACUCCUACGGGAGGCAGCAGUGGCGGAAUUUUUNGGACAAUGGGCUGAAAGCCUGAUCCAGCAAUGCCGCCGUAGCAGGAUGAAGGCCCUCGGGUUGUAAAACUGCUUUUGUACGGAACGAAAAGCCUGGGGCUAAAUAAUCCCCCCGG